This 422-nucleotide ribosomal RNA is filed under the name Atelopus hoogmoedi group sp. ABGD cluster 1. RNAcentral's name for it is "partial large subunit ribosomal RNA". It matches the Rfam family "Bacterial large subunit ribosomal RNA", at positions 1832 to 2457 of the family's 2925-position model. The record is from RNAcentral. Lineage: Eukaryota; Metazoa; Chordata; Amphibia; Anura; Bufonidae.
CUUGAGUUAUAAAUAUAAGAGGUCCAGCCUGCCCAGUGAUUAAAUUUAACGGCCGCGGUAUCCUAACCGUGCGAAGGUAGCGUAAUCACUUGUUCUUUAAAUGAGGACUAGUAUGAAUGGCACCACGAAGGUUUUACUGUCUCCUUUUCCUAAUCAGUGAAACUAAUCUUCCCGUGAAGAAGCGGGAAUAAGCGAAUAAGACGAGAAGACCCUAUGGAGCUUUAAACACAAUAACAAAUACUACUUUAAACAAAAAUUUCUUAAUGACUACUCCCUGGUAUUAUGAUUAUUAGUUUUAGGUUGGGGUGACCGCGGAGAAAAACACAACCUCCACAUUGAAUGAUAAAAUUCUAAGCAAAGAAUCACAUUUCCACGCAUCAAUACAUUGACAUCAAUUGACCCAAUUAUUUUGAUCAACGAAC